GCCGGGGUAGCUCAGUUGGUUAGAGCGGCGGUCUCAUAAUCCGCAGGUCUGGGGUUCGAGUCCCCACCCCGGUA
This 74-nucleotide transfer RNA is filed under the name Paludisphaera mucosa. Its description in RNAcentral is "tRNA-Met". It matches the Rfam family "tRNA". Rfam says of the family: Transfer RNA (tRNA) molecules are approximately 80 nucleotides in length. Lineage: Bacteria; Pseudomonadati; Planctomycetota; Planctomycetia; Isosphaerales; Isosphaeraceae. The record is from RNAcentral.